Quercus robur (English oak) is the source of this 2040-nucleotide long non-coding RNA. RefSeq lists it as uncharacterized. The transcript has 3 exons. NCBI's taxonomy places the organism in Eukaryota, Viridiplantae, Streptophyta, Magnoliopsida, Fagales, Fagaceae. The record is from RefSeq and is a predicted model, not a curated record.
AUGAUUAUUAUUAUUACUACAUUUUUUUAAUGGUUGACUUUGGACAUUUCAGUUUUCUACUCCCUUAUUUUGAUAAUUCUGCAUUGCUGGGAUGUUCUCUACUUUCCCAAUAUGGACAGUGUAAUCUAUUUGUUGAAAAAUGAAAACUUUGUUCUUAGUUUGCUCUAUAUAGAUGCACAAAUAGUUGAUAGAGCGUAUUUUUUUAGUGGAGUUUGAAUUUAGACAUUGAUAGGUUAGGGAACUGAGGCUGAUUGUUUGUGGUUCAAUUAGGGUCUUAUCUAGGGUAAGUAACUGAGGCUGAUUGUUUGUGGUUCAAUUAGGGUCUUAUCUGGGGUAGGUACUUGAGAAUUUUCUGGGAUUGCCUAUGUAGUCUUGUAAUAUAUUGAAUACAUAAUCUUUUCUUCCAUAUAUGCAGUCUGUGGCCUGGUACCUUUCUGUGCCAGGGGUAUGUUUUUCCCCAGAAAACCUGAUCUGAAACUCUCUCUCUUCCUGAAUGCUCUAAGUUAUCCUUUAAUAGAAAGUGGUUCUCCAACAACUGAAAGAAACAAAAAAAAAAAACACUUUUCUUGGAAAUUCAAGAAAAGGGUUUGAAGAUUUUCUCAGGAAAGUGACUGCCAAAUUUGAAUUUUAAGAAAAGGCUGUGGAACAACAACAAGAUGGGCUUUUCCAUGCCACCACUGGCACGGAAGUUGAGGCCGAUGAUGCUGUCCCUGAGAUUUUUUUUGUGCUUUCAUAUGGUUUAGACUAAUGGGUUUUUUUCUGGAUUCUGAUUGAUUGAAUUGAAUUGCAAGUUAUCUUUGCUUUUUGGAAUUUCCUGGUUCUUGAAUGUUAUUGAUUUGGUUCUUGUUACGAAGCUUAUCUUAAAAAUAUUGUGAGAAAAGAGAAGUAGUAAUGAAGGAAACAUUUAUCAAAAAAUUUGAAGAAUAGCCAAAGAGAAUGUAUCUGAACUGUGCUGAUCAUACAGAUUUUAGAGACUGACCUUUCUUCCAUAAAAAUUGGAUAGUUUUCAUGUUUGAAGAUUUCCCGUCUGGAAUUUUUGUUAUUUUCCAUUCUGUAUUGAUUAUAUAUAUUAUUAAAUGUUUGUUUCUCCAACUGCAGUUGAUAGAUCGGAUCCAAGAAAGGCAAUUUCCUUGUUAUGGUCUGCCAUAAAUUCUGGGGACCAGGUUGAUAGUGCCUUGAAAGACAUGGCAGUUGUGAUGAAACAAUUGGAUCGAUUUGAUGAGGCAAUUGAGGCUAUCAAAUCUUUUUGUCAUCUCUGCCCUUUUGAUUCUUAGGAAUCUCUUGGCAAUGUGUUAGUUGAACUCUACAAGGUAAAACUAAAACCAGUUUUAUCCAAUAAAUAGUUUCUUAUAUUUUACUUGCCAUUCUUUGUCAUUUUCCUUUCAGCUAGUUACAUAUAUUGGGGCAACAACAACAAGAAAGCUGGAGUGUGGCAAGGAUAAAUGAUAUUACAGGACUAAAUUUGCAGAGAAGAACUUUUACCUUCAAAAAAAAUAAAAGCAGCCACUAAUGAUUGCUAUUCUGCCAACAAAAUUUGAGAAGGUGAUUUUGGUCCUGUGUACAAGGUUCGGUGCAGGGUGAACUACCUGAUGGUACUGUCAUAGCAGUUAAGCAACUCUCAUCUAAAUCAAAGCAAGGAAAUUGUGAAUAUUUAAAUGAAAUAGGCAUGAUUUCUUGUUUGCAACACCCAAAUCUGGUGAAGCUUUAUGGAUGUUGUAUUGAAGGGGAGCAAUUAUUGUUAGUCUAUGAGUACAUGGAAAAUAAUAACUUAGCCCAUGUAUUAUUUGGUGAGUAUUAUGUAAUCUUGCUUAGCACUGAGCUAUUAUGAAAAAAAAAUGAGAUGAACUUUUUUCCAUUGUUGUUGAGGGUGUGGUGGUUUUUUUCCUUUUUGAUUUGUCUGUGCACUCUAUAUAUUGAUGGAAGACAAUUCUCAGUAGAAGGUGCAAAGCACCUGUGUUCUCAUGUUGUGGCAAAUUUUGCUGUGACUUCAGUUCUUGCUUUCCUUUGUGUUGUUGCAUAGAUUCUUAAUGAAUGUUUUCA